GCGGGUCAUCCGGCCUCAAGUCCUCCGGGUCACCUCCUCCGAGUAUGACUUCUUCACCGUGCUCUUGGUUCCACUGAAUCUAUAGGAAGCGUAGUUCGUGAAGCGUGGACUAGGCGUCCCUGCGUGGCUCGGUCAGCUAAGCCUCGGCCUGCGGCUCAGGUCCUGAUCCCAGAGUCGUGGGGUCAGCCCCACGCUGGGCUCCGGGCGGAGGGAAGAGUCUGCUUCUCCGUCUCCCUCAGCCCCUCGCUACUUCCUCCCCGCACCUGUUCUCGCUCUCCUCUCUCUCAAA
This 289-nucleotide long non-coding RNA is filed under the name Mustela putorius furo (domestic ferret). RNAcentral describes it as "lncRNA (ENSMPUG00000028688.1)". The record is from RNAcentral. Lineage: Eukaryota; Metazoa; Chordata; Mammalia; Carnivora; Mustelidae.